RNAcentral lists this unclassified non-coding RNA (497 nucleotides) under Hevea brasiliensis (rubber tree). The record is from RNAcentral. Lineage: Eukaryota; Viridiplantae; Streptophyta; Magnoliopsida; Malpighiales; Euphorbiaceae.
ACAUGAAAGCAAUUAUUCUAAAAGUUCAAUUCCAAGGAGUUGAUGGCAGAUAUCAAGGACUAGGAGUCGGAAUGGAAGGGAUUUCGGGAACCUUCGGAAGGGGAGAAACUUCUGGUAAAGAAGGCAGUGGUGGUAAGACGUUCGUGAUUGUCGGUAUUUUAGGCAGAGGUGGCAGCUCAACCUUUGGGAUGGUGGGUUCUGAAAGAGUCGGCAUUUCAGGCAGCGGUGGUAAUGUGAUCUUGGGUAUGGUGGGCACGGGCAGAGUAGGCAUUUCGGGCAAUGGUGGUAAGGUGAUCUUGGGGAUGCUGGGCUCUGGCAGAGUUGGCACUUGGGGCUGUGGUGGUAACGUGAUCUUAGGGAUGGUGGGCUCUGUUAGAGAUGGAACUUUGGGUAACGGCGGUAUCUCGGUUGUGUUCAACAAACUGCGAGCGGCAUGGCUCACAGAGCCAUUACUGAGUAGCAAGAUUGCAAUUCCCAUUGCUAGAAGGGAAAUGUAA